Molecule: ribosomal RNA, 384 nt
Filed under: uncultured bacterium
Lineage: Bacteria
Description: bacterial SSU rRNA
Rfam family: Bacterial small subunit ribosomal RNA
Source: RNAcentral
AUUGAACGCUGGCGGCAUGCCUUACACAUGCAAGUCGAACGGCAGCGGACCUUGGGUGCCGGCGAGUGGCGAACGGGUGAGUAAUAUAUCGGAACGUACCUUUCAGUGGGGGAUAACGUAGCGAAAGUUACGCUAAUACCGCAUAUUCUGUGAGCAGGAAAGCAGGGGAUCGCAAGACCUUGCGCUGAUUGAGCGGCCGAUAUCAGAUUAGCUAGUUGGUGAGGUAAAGGCUCACCAAGGCGACGAUCUGUAGCGGGUCUGAGAGGAUGAUCCGCCACACUGGAACUGAGACACGGUCCAGACUCCUACGGGAGGCAGCAGUGGGGAAUUUUGGACAAUGGGCGCAAGCCUGAUCCAGCCAUGCCGCGUGAGUGAAGAAGGCCU